RNAcentral lists this ribosomal RNA (112 nucleotides) under uncultured Enterobacteriaceae bacterium. Its description in RNAcentral is "partial 16S ribosomal RNA". Lineage: Bacteria; Pseudomonadati; Pseudomonadota; Gammaproteobacteria; Enterobacterales; Enterobacteriaceae. The record is from RNAcentral.
UAAUGUCUGGGAAACUGCCUGAUGGAGGGGGAUAACUACUGGAAACGGUAGCUAAUACCGCACAACGUCCAAGACCAAAGAGGGGGACAUUCCGGCCUCUUUAAUAAGAUUU